RNAcentral lists this ribosomal RNA (245 nucleotides) under uncultured bacterium. RNAcentral describes it as "partial 16S ribosomal RNA". It matches the Rfam family "Bacterial small subunit ribosomal RNA", at positions 15 to 244 of the family's 1533-position model. The record is from RNAcentral.
GAUCCUGGCUCAGGAUGAACGCUGGCGGCGUGCUUAACACAUGCAAGUCGAACGGGAAUUACUUUAUUGAAACUUCGGUCGAUUUAAUUUAAUUCUAGUGGCGGACGGGUGAGUAACGCGUGGGUAACCUGCCUUAUACAGGGGGAUAACAGUCAGAAAUGGCUGCUAAUACCGCAUAAGCGCACAGAGCUGCAUGGCUCGGUGUGAAAAACUCCGGUGGUAUAAGAUGGACCCGCGUUGAUUAG